GGUCUACCCAAUCAGGAUAUGGCUUUGUGUACGUCGGCCUAAUGACAGGACGCACCCCAAAAGUCAUCUGAUCCUGUACGAUUUCCAUAAUUUGGUUCGUCAACAUGACGUUGGGGUCAUAUGGAAUUCCUACAGGUUGGUUAACCGGUUGAUUUGCAUGAGGCCUGAUGUUUGGUCCUUGAUUGGCGACAAAAUUACCAUGAUUAGAGCCAUUACCAUUAGCCUGAAUAUCUAUUCCCUCAUUAACACGUGGAAUAUUCUGUCCAUUGUUCAGGACAUUAUCUUUUAUGUUUGGGUUACCCCCAAGUUUGGCAUACUACUACCAUUGUUCUGAUUUGGCACUGUAGUACCCCCUUGAUUUGAAGUAGAGGGACCAGAAAACGGUUCUACCCCUUGAUUCGGAUUUAGGACCGAGGGAUUAUGUCCCACAAUUGUCCUAGUUUGAAAGUGGUUUGUAAGAGGUAUAGCCGGUUGACAUAUUUGGCCUACUAACUUAUUCAUUGUUUAGUUCAACGUCUUUAGUUGUUUGGCCAUGUUGUCAUAGUGUACAUUCCCAUUUUGCGUAAAUCUUUCCAUAUUAUGAAUACUUCGAAGAUUUACCUGUUCAACGACGUCUUGCGUGAGUUCUCCAAGUAAUGCACGCAUGGUUCGAGGACUCAACUCCGUCAUUGGUUCGUAACGACUGUUACUGCUCUGAUUCUGUCCAUCUGUUCGUGGAGAGGCAUGCUGCUCCUCAUAUCGCUCGAUCACAGACUGUAUUCCUCCCUGACUUGCUGCUUCCUUAUCGGAUCUCUGAGGCAUAUUAUUUCACCUUUUGUACUUUCAAAACCUAACACCACUGUCCCACCGGGCGUGCCAAAUUGUUUCGCGCGGGUUAGUCGCUAACAAUUAAAAGGGAUCAGACGAUUGUGUAAGGGACAAACCUCUUGAGACAAAGUCCCAAAAAGGGGUGUUCUUUUAUUGGUGAUGACUUUACAAUUGGAAAUUAAAAACAAUGUGCCUCCAAGGAGCGCAAGCACACGAGUUACUGAAAGAAAAGUGUUUAAAUCUAAGCUAAGGAAAUUAAAAUUACAUGUUCUCUGUUCGAGAGUUUUUGAUUCGGUCCUUUACUCUACGUCUUUUCUCCCUUUUAUACUUCAUGGACGGUCUCUUUGUGAUCAACCACCUAAAAACUGCUUAAUCGUCCUAUAACUGCCCACUUUCCUCGUAAUGGCCAACUUGUCAUGAAAACUGUCUUUUUUAACUGCUGUCAUUACUCUUUGUCGUUCAACCGCUUUCGAUUUAAUUCCUUGAAUCGUGGAACGUGAUAGGGCUGCUUUGAUAACGGCACGUCUUGAUAAUCACAACGCUUUAUAUGUGUUAAGACCUUGGGCGAAUUGAAGGUUUGGGCGAGAAUAGCGUAACAGCUCUGGGCGACUAUAUGGCACUCCGUUCGCUAAGAUUCUGGGCGACUUGCAAACUUGGGCGAUGGCUUUACCGCGUUCUUGGGCCUCCUUAUUUGGGCCUUCAUACUGAUUUGUUUGAUUGGAUUUCGUUCUUUGGGCUAUCUGAUUUGGGGAUCCUCCAAUUGGGUUUCACUCCUUGGGCCGUUUGAUUUGGGCUGAAUUUUUAUGUGUCAACAGUAUGAUUUUGUUCUUUUACUUCUGAUCUAUAAAGAAGUGACGAGACUUUGUUUCUAUAUUUGGCAUCUGAUGCUGAAGAUGUUUGAUAAUAAAUCAGGUUGCUAGGCAGCUUCAAGUGCACAUUGAACCCGAAAAUUUGCAAUUGCCAACUCCUUUAUCGUCUUUAGGAGAAUACGAGGUGCCGCUUCGCCUACCAAAGUCCGUUCCUAGGCCACAAGGAAAAGUUCAAUGGACUCUUAGCAUCAAAAUUAGGAAACUAUACAGGGACCUUGGCCAUUUGAAUGAUUACGACGUUUUUUCUUUUCUUUUUUAUCUUUUUAACUUGUAGAAUUAGAGAAUAAUUAUUUCUAUGAGUUUUGGAACAGAUUGAACAUAUGUAUCUAUCAUCAUUUUGUAUCCUUGACCAUUGAAAGUCGUCUCAUUUAUUUAAGGAGCGUUCAAAUUGUUGCAAUAUUUUGUGCCAAAAACUUGUAUAUAAAUGGAUUCUUGCUUAUGAGCCUGAAUCUGUCCUCUGAGACGUAUAAUGUGUGGUAGAAUUAAGUCUCUUGUACAGAUGAAAUGUACAAAAAUCAUCACAGAUAAACAGGUGGCAACACUGUAUUGACUGGUUUAAUUGUAUUUUUUGUCCAGGAUCGAGCUAUUUAGUCACAAUGGAUGAUAUCGGGGUUGACACAACACACACACAUGGGGGAUCGGGAUUAUUUUAUUCAGGCGGGAUCCGCCUCGACAUGUGAGGGCGCGGUCAUUCAUUGUGUCAACCAUGAUGUUCAUUUGACAUUUCCCUAUUGUCCAGCCCAAUGAAAUUUUGUCAGGAUUGAUGUGUGGUAGCUAGGUUGAUAUGUGAUAUAGUACGCAAAGGUUUUGUGAAACUUGUACGUGUAAGAAUUAUGUUUCUUUUGUGGGCAAAUGUGAGGUGGGAAAGAAGAUGGUUAUCUUUUUGUAGGUGCAAAUUCUUUGGCAAAAGCCAAACAUACAUGUCUAAUUGUAGACAUUAUUGUCUACAUUAAGACAAGUGAGUCAGCCUUUUGUGUCAUGUAUUUGGUGAUUAUCCCUUCACAGCCACAUAAAUCUUAAUGAACCUUUGUCGUUGUCUUGAAAAUGAUUAAAAAAUUUGUCAAAUUAAUGUAGUAACAUUUUAAUUUUUCAAAAAAACAAAUUCAAAGUUCAUUAAAUUGGAUGUAUGAUUUUUAUGACAAUUUAACAAAAAUAUUAACGAUUUUUUACAUUAUGGACAAGUUAUGUGACUACUAAGAAAAGGAUUGAAGAUUAACUUACUACUAUGAAAUAGAAUAAAAAAUCGAUAUGCAAUUUUCCUUAAUAUUGAAGAUGUCAUGUCCCUACGAAAGUGAACCAAAAAGUUCAUAUAUUUAGCCACGUUUUCACGUGUUGGGCCUUUUGAUGUGGGGUCCUUGCAGGUAAAAAAGAAAAUUCAUUUUUGACUUAUGAUCUAAUUAUAAUUACAGACUUUGUCCUAUAUUUUUGUUAAGCCAUUGUUAGAUAGAAAUUAAAAUCAAAUUUUUAGCAGAUUAGUUUCAUAAAAAUAUGUAAUUUAAAUUCAUUGUUGAUUUAGAUUAAGCUUCCAUUAUAUUAAAUUUCAUUAUAUAUAUAUAUAUAUAUAUAUAUAUAUAUUUUUUUUUUUUUUUUUCAAUCACACAAUUUUUUAUAAAAUAAUAUUAAAUUUAAAUCGAAAUGUUUACUUUUUUUUUAUCCACUUUUUUUAAAAAAAAAUACUAUUUCACCUAUUUUUACUUCAAAAAAUGAGAGUCAAACGGGGCCUAAAAUUGUAAUCCAUAGCAAACGGGGCUAAAUCUCUCUCUCAGUUUCCCCUUUCUUUCCCGAACGCCAACUAUGACUUUGACUUUCAGCUGGCCAAAGCCGGCCGUCCUCUAUUCACCAGUCAUCAUCCGCCACGUCCUCAGCAAUCAGGAACCUUCUAACUAUGGUAUUAUUUUAUCAAAUAUUUUUUUCAAAGUUACAAUAUUUUAUUAAAAAAGUAAUUUAAAUUUAUUUACUAAAAAACAACUUUUAAGUAAAUUCAAUUUAAUUAAAACUAUUUCCAACAAAUAAUAUUAAGAGGUUGUUUAGAAGUCAUUUUGAGAAUUGAUUUUUUAACCGUUAGAAGAAAAGUGGGAUCCACCCGUGAAAAAAAAAUCAAAUAUGACGGCUAAAAUAGUAAAAUAACGGUUAAAAAAUCAAUUUUUUUGUUGAAAAAAUCGAAUCCAAACAGGCCCUAAACUUACAUAGGUGAUUUCUAUUUAUUAAAGAUCUACAUAAGUUUUACAUAUUGACAUUUUGAAGCAAAAAACACAGUGAUGAAGACUUCUCAACUUUUCUAUAAUAAAAAAAUAAAAAGAGAGAGAGAGAGAGAGAGAGAGAGAGAGAAUACUUAACAAAUGUCUUAAUAAUUAGACAAAUUAUUAGUUUUCCACUAAUGAAAACGAAAUAAUUAACAAAAAAAAAAAAUAGCACAUGCUACAUAAUAAACGUGUGCGCGCUUAUAUAUUUGCAGCAAUCCUCAGCCUCAUUUUUCUUGUCCAUUCUUGAAAAUUUCAAUUCAGACAAUACAACUCUCCAGCCUCUUCUUUCUAAAAUUUAGAAAAAGCUCACAAAAAGUUAAAAAUAAAAAUAAAAAAAUGCCGUUCUGUAACGUAACUUCGUACCAGAACGGCGAUGGAGAUGAAUCGAACAUCAAUGAAACCAAUAUUUUCUACAGAACGUACGGUCAUGGGUCGGUGAAAGUUCUUUUGAUUAUCGGUAACCCAUUUUGAUUUGAUUGAUUCCAUUUUAUCCAAGUAUUUGAAUCAGUUUAAUGGGUUUUCUUUUGAAUUUUUGUUUGGUCGGUGAUGGUGUUUUUGGAUGAAUGGUUAGGAUUGGCUGGGACCCACGAUUCAUGGGGUCCACAGAUAAAGGGUCUCGCUGGAACGGUGAUUCCGAACGACGAUGAGUCGACGGCCGGUGAUCGGAGCAAUGAGAGUGACGAAGGUGAUGGCGUUGAGGUCUGUGCGUUUGAUAAUCGGGGAAUGGGUCGGAGCUCCGUUCCCAUCAAGAAGUCCGAAUAUACGUGAGUGCCAUUAAAUUAUAAGCUGCUUCAUUUUGUGAUUGGAUUCUCAUUAUAGCUUAAUUGUAGAUAAUUGUCGUUAAAUUUGAUGUUCUAUUAUUUUUAUUUUUUUGCAUACGUUGUAUGUGCUAACACCCCCACAUUUAUUAAAUAGUGGAACGACAUUGAUAUUUCCGACUAGAAAUUUCUUAAUCCUCUUCCCCCUUCUUUUCCUCCCGAUUUUGGGUGCAAAACUGGUACACUUUUGUAAAGCCAAAUAAGUGAUUUUAGCUUAGAGGAGAUUCUUGAACCCCUUUCACACUUUUGUCACGAAUGAUAUCUUUAUGUGGAUUCAUAGAAAAGAAAGUUUUUCCAACUUGACAGCGCCUAUUCAACAACAAUUAGGUACAUAUGAGGUGAGAAAUAACUUGAAAAUGAAGGUUUUCAAUUUAAUGAUCACACUUCUUUAAGGUUUAUGAACAGUCAAGAAAUAAAUUUCGAGCAAAAAAAUAAUGAGAUGUUAAAAACAUUGACAUUUGUUAUAUUCGGGAAGUAGGUUGAAGAAUUUUGGGCAUGAUAUUUCUUUGGCUUUCUGGAAUUUGAUUGUUGUAUUAUACUUAGCCUUGUAAUUUCUUGUAGCUGAAAAUAUAAUUCAGAUUUUAAUCAUUCCCGAAAGUUAGGAUUUUAUUUUGUUUUACGAGGCAGGACAAGAAUUAUGGCAAAAGAUGCAAUAGCUCUAAUGGAUCACUUGCAUUGGAAAAAGGCCCAUGUCUUCGGCCAUUCAAUGGGUGAGUUCUGACUUUGAAUUUCUGCUUUGCAUUUGUGACUUGUUCUAUGCUUGUCGAACUUAAUGAUAUUCAUUCGACAUUUAGUUUUAUGUGCAUUACAUAUUCACUGCUUACGUAAAUAGACUACGGCAUAGAAAAGGAGCACCACUGGACUCCCAAUAUGCUGAAAUGUUCCCAGUCUCAUGAUUAGAUAUGUAAUUAAUCGGCAAUGGGGCAUUGCAGUGCAUUUGAAUGCUCAUUAGUCGCUAUUUGGACCGAGCAACUUAAACUUUUGGUCCAUUAUGUAGUUAAUAAUUUCAUUAGCAUUGUGAGCUUAAAAUUAUUAAAGGGCUAACUUCUAGAGGAGUUUCCAGUGCAAAAAUUCAAUUUUGUAAGAGUUACUUAAAACGUGAGGAAUAGAAAAACGCUAUGAUGGUCAAUGUGAUAAUUCUGAUUCAAACCAAAUAACAUUAUUUUGACCCAGAAUUCGGUUUCUUUUUCAAACUAGGUCCCCUGAAAUGCUUAUCAUAUGCUCAGAAAAAAACUAGAC
RNAcentral lists this small RNA (5976 nucleotides) under Olea europaea subsp. europaea. The record is from RNAcentral. Lineage: Eukaryota; Viridiplantae; Streptophyta; Magnoliopsida; Lamiales; Oleaceae.